CCUACGGGUGGCAGCAGUGGGGAAUAUUGCACAAUGGGGGAAACCCUGAUGCAGCGACGCCGCGUGAGUGAUGAAGUAUUUCGGUAUGUAAAGCUCUAUCAGCAGGGAAGAAAAUGACGGUACCUGACUAAGAAGCCCCGGCUAACUACGUGCCAGCAGCCGCGGUAAUACGUAGGGGGCAAGCGUUAUCCGGAUUUACUGGGUGUAAAGGGAGCGUAGACGGCAGCACAAGUCUGGAGUGAAAGGCCGGGGCUUAACCCCGGAACUGCAUUUGAAACUGUGAAGCUAGAGUGCAGGAGAGGUAAGUGGAAUUCCUAGUGUAGCGGUGAAAUGCGUAGAUAUUAGGAGGAACACCAGUGGCGAAGGCGGCUUACUGGACUGUAACUGACGUUGAGGCUCGAAAGCGUGGGGAGCAAACAGGAUUAGAUACCCGGGUAGUC
This 440-nucleotide ribosomal RNA is filed under the name uncultured bacterium. RNAcentral describes it as "partial 16S ribosomal RNA". It matches the Rfam family "Bacterial small subunit ribosomal RNA", at positions 338 to 795 of the family's 1533-position model. The record is from RNAcentral.